CUCUUGGCAAACUCACAUUUACUUACAGACAUGCAUACAUACAGAAGCAGGUAUGGACACACACAGGGUCCAAAAAUGUACAAACACGUGCAACAGGCACACAUAUACAGCAUGAAUAAUUAAAUAGUCAAUAAAUAAAAGACUGAUCUGUAACUUGGAGAUUGAUUUAGAUAAACACAGGCAGUCAGUCAUUGUUUCAGAAUGCCUUUGCUGUAGAGAGAUCACUCAGCCUGCGUUUUGCAGGCCCUGCACUCCUUGGUCUUCUCUGCUGUCGUGGCUGCUCUGCUCUCCCUGCCCACCCAAUGCAUGGCUCAGUAAGGCUCAGCCAGAAGCAGAAGUGCAGCAAUAGACACACACAGAAAAUAUGACAUUAUCACUGCUUCCGCUCCCAGCCAACUCCUAGACUCACAGAUGCAGGCCCAGACGGGCAACGGGCCAGCAGGGGAGAUACUUUCAUCUACCUUUCUGUGGUCCCUCUCAGAUCAGUGGGGAGAUCUCCAUCACCAGCCUCUUAGCACUGCCAGCGCCCCCCCAUUCCCACAACAUGCUUGUCCUGCGUGCAUCGCCGAAAGCCCACCCGUGCAGGAGAUAAGCUCGAACGCCUGUCCUGCACCCUGCUAGGUGUGGACGCCCUCCUGUCGGCAUCCUAGCUCCAGUCCCUCGUCCUCACUGCCCACUGCUGGCGUCCCCGACCUGGGAGGUGACCCUGGGGACCUUUGCGGCCCGAACGUAAUGACCUCGCUCCCAGGUGUCCUCAAACUGCGGGCGGCCGUCCGGCAACAUUGGGCGCAAGCUACUGAACUCCCAGGCUUCCCGUCUGCCUCCACAGCCUUCUUUCUCCAUAGCCUCCAGCCUGGCUGGCAGUGAUGGGCUCUCCCUCCUACGCGGUGAUCGGGUCCUCCAAGCCACUCGUCCAGGCCGUCGCAGUGGAUCCUGCAGCAGUAGGCCCAGAUGGGACCAGGGCCUCUCCUAACCGUUCCUGGAGCCAGGCGACCCAUCUGCUGGGCCGCAGCAUGCACACCAGCCAGGCAAUCCCCCAUUCUUCAAGACAGCAGCACCUGAAAGACAGAAAAUUCAAGACACCACACAGACCUGCCACAAAACAGGUAAGUGAGAAUUAAUUAAGAUGGCCCUUGAUCUAAAAUAACCGCCCAUUCCACUUAGCUGUAUUUCUCCAUGGGCUACAUUCUCCACACAUUUUCUACCCCAUCUUCACUUACACAUGUGUAUUUUCUCACACUGUCUUAUGUACAUUCGCACAAUAAAUUUACAUUUACACACUGGAACAAACAAAACACCUUAACUUGGAUCAUAAAUAGGGACAAGUGAGGGAUCUCCAGCCAAUCCAACUAAUCCAAAAACCAACUAGGACACACAGCCCCACAUUUGAGGACAAAGUAAAGUACCCUAGCACUAUUUUAAAGAUGUGAAUGGCACUGCAAAGC
Molecule: non-coding RNA, 1445 nt
Organism: Pelobates cultripes (western spadefoot toad)
Lineage: Eukaryota; Metazoa; Chordata; Amphibia; Anura; Pelobatidae
Source: the annotation of a GenBank genome assembly